RNAcentral lists this long non-coding RNA (1149 nucleotides) under Mus musculus (house mouse). RNAcentral's name for it is "long non-coding RNA chr19:55322039-55323188". Lineage: Eukaryota; Metazoa; Chordata; Mammalia; Rodentia; Muridae. The record is from RNAcentral.
AGAUCCCAAAGCCUGCUGUGUGUGCUGUGGACAUGCGUGGACCGUCAGGCUUCCUCUUAGCGGUUCAUUUCCUUUUCAGAUUAAAGGAAAUUUAAUAGCUUGUAGAGGUUUUACUCUUUUUAAUAAAGGUGGCUCAUUAAAUGUCAACCUCUAAUUUAUAUUCCUUAAGAGUACAUCUCCCAAGAACUAGUGUUUUAGUGCAUGAUCUUAGUAGCUAGUAUUUGAUAAAUGCACAGUACACCUCAUAUUGGGGUAAGCAUAUUGUGUUGUAGUCUUUAAUUUUCUCACAUCACCUAAGAGAUAAGGAUUGCCUUUCAAAACUGACAAAGGUCCGAGAUUCCCAUCAACUUGGAAGCAGAAGCAGCUUGCCAGUCUCUACAAACGGCCACAGAAGAUGUGAGAUUUCUUGUGUGUGUUUGUAUGUACAUAUUCAUUUGCAUUUAUGUGUGGGGGGCUUCAUGUGCACAUGUGUAUGUGUGCACAUGAGUACACAUGGGUGUGGAGGCCAGAAGUUGAUAUUAGGUAUCUUAUUGGAUUUCUCUUCACCUUAUUCUUUGAGGCAGGUUCUCGCACGGGACCCAAGGCUCACUGACUGAGGUAGAUUCACUUGUCCAUCCAGCCCCAGGGAGCCCGGGUCGACUUUCCAAGUAGAUGUUACCGAAAUUAUAGGCACGCCUCUUGCCACAGCCAGCUUUUUUGUGGUGGCUAGUGAUCAGAUCUCAGCUCCUCACAUUUGUGUGAUAAGCGUUUUGCUGACUAAGCUAUUUCCUUAGCUUAUAAGACGUGAAACUCUGAAGUCCAAAACUGAAGCCUUGUGUUACAACAACAGCAGCUGCCAGAGUUUCAGCUUGGUGGCUUAACUCCCUUGAGCCCAGUUUCCACAGAGGAGAUGCAAACUCUUGCUUCCACCAGGAACCCAAAGCCAGGGAAUAAGCCUGUUCUUGCCCCAGAGAGACAUAUUGUUUCGUUCUUCAGUGUUGCUUUGUGUGGAUGGACUUUUGAGACGUGGACAGCAUUGUUCGAGCAUCACAUUCAUACUCAGGGAACCCUGUAGGGGCAUCAGCGAAUCAUGGGAGACUGAUGCCGACAUUGUUGUCACCACCGAUCUAGAUGAGGACCAGCGCUUAGAGAGGCUAGGAAACCCAUCGG